ACAAAAAAUCAAGAGAAGUCUAAAAAAUAUUUUGAGUGGCCAGGUAUGGAGCUCUUGCCUGUAAUGACAACUUAGAAGGUGAAGAUCAAGAGCCCAAGGCCGGCCUCAGCAAAGCAGCAAUUCAAGCUGGCUGGGCUGUAUGAGAUCACUAUUAAAUAACAGUGGUGGUAAAGGAGGAAAAUACUUUAUAACAUAGUGUCCAUCCAACACUCAGAAAGAAGGGUGAUCCUGAUGGUUGGUAGACUGGCAUAAAGAAGAAGCAUAUUGAAAGAAUCAAAAACACUUGGAGAAGGUUUCAGUUUUGGGGUUUUCUGUUUUAGCUGAGCAUGGUGGCUCACAUCUACAAUCCCAGAACCUGGGGGCCAAUGAGGAUGGAUUGCUAGGAGUUCAUGGCCAAUCUGGAGUACGUAGUGAGUAACAGAGCAGCCAGAGCUACAUAUAAAGACCUCACGUCAAAAUAAACAACAAGGGAGGGGAGGCUUCCACUUAAAUACAAGUCAACAAGUAGAAUUAUACUAUAAAUAGAAAUCACAGUCCACUGAUAAUACAAAUAGUAGAAAUUAUAACAAAGCACUUACCAUUGAAAGGAUUGAUUCCUGCACUAAUCCUUAAAAUAAUAGCUUCUUUCACUUCCUUUUUCUUUACACACCGAAUACCCAAAUUUUGAAAACUAAAAGCAAAAAAUGAAACUUUCAAAAUCACAUCAUAGUUAAACAAAAGUAUGACAAAAAUCAAACAUACUCAGAAAGUCAGCUCUCUGCCACACCAACCUCUAGGUCACAGAUCCUGUUUCUGACUGUGAUAAUAAAGAAGAUACAAGAGAAACAAACAUAGGCCUGCCUAAGAGAAUUGUUAAUAGAAAAAUAGAGCACAUGGUGACAUGCCUUUAAUUCUAGCACUAGGAGAUGGAGGCAAGUGGUACCUUGGUUACCUAGCAACUUUUAGGCUACCCUGGAUUAUGGGAAAACCUGUCCCAAACUAAAAAAGUAUAUAGAGUAUUAUAUAACUGUCAAAUAUACUAUUUUAUAAUUACAUUUUGCCAAUAGGCUUAGUCAAAUAUACCAAGGUAGAUAAACAUUACAAGUAAAACAAACAAAACCAUCAAGAAGCAAAGUUUCACCUUCCAAACAAACUCAUGAUCAAUUUACUAAAAUUGGUGUAUCAAAAGGUACAAAGACAGCUGGACCCUGAAAUAUGCAGGUAUGUUUUGCUAAACUUAUAGCAGUGUUAACCUAUGUAUUUUUAAAAAAUGUAUAGAAGUGGCUAGUGCAUUUUAAAAAUUAUAUAUAUACAUUACCAAACUUAAGAGUGAGGUGAUCAGAGCUGAGCAUCAGCUCUUCUGGUUUCAUGAACAUUUCAGAGGUUUGCUAGCACUCCUUGGGCACAGAGACAAUCUGUUAGAGCUGAGCACCUGUAACCCCACUUACACACAGUUAUCCACUCUGAUGAGGAACCGGGCUAGCCUUCUUAUAUUUGAUUCCCUCUGCUCAGUUAUGAUGCCUGCCUAGCUCAUCACUAAAAAAUGUACCAUGAAAUAUAUGAAAACACAGCUGUACAAGGUCUUGCUGUGUACUUUAGCCUGGCCUCAAUUUUUUUCAUUGACAACAGAAUACACUUUAUGCCAUGUUAUAUGAUUACAAUAUAGGAAAUGAAGUAUUUUUAUUAGAGAGGGUUAAUACUAACAAUAUUUAGCAACAGUUUCAAAGGGUCAUUUAUGGAAAACUUCUCAAUAGCUACAAAUAUUACUCAUUUGCAUAUGUGUAAUACAAAUGAUGAUGGGGGAACUCCCCUACCACCAUCCAGUCAUACUUGUUCCCACAUGGAAAAACCAUGACAUCAUCUGAGAUGGGUGGGUGUGAAUAAGGAAGCAAAACUCAAAUGAUAAGAACAUCACUGUUUCUUCAAACUUCACUUGGCACUUGCAGCCAGAGGCUGCCUGGUUUGCCUUACUCCAUGUUCCUAUUACUGUAUGUUCAUGCUUCAUGCUUGGCACUCACACCUGUGACUUCAUUAGCACCUAAAAUAACUUUGCCACUUCCUUCCUCCUCCUCCUCC
This 2055-nucleotide long non-coding RNA is filed under the name Mus musculus (house mouse). RNAcentral's name for it is "long non-coding RNA chr11:23752638-23754693". The record is from RNAcentral. Lineage: Eukaryota; Metazoa; Chordata; Mammalia; Rodentia; Muridae.